UGCCUUACACAUGCAAGUCGAACGGCAGCACGGGUGCUUGCACCUGGUGGCGAGUGGCGAACGGGUGAGUAAUACAUCGGAACAUGUCCUGUAGUGGGGGAUAGCCCGGCGAAAGCCGGAUUAAUACCGCAUACGAUCUGAGGAUGAAAGCGGGGGACCUUCGGGCCUCGCGCUAUAGGGUUGGCCGAUGGCUGAUUAGCUAGUUGGUGGGGUAAAGGCCUACCAAGGCGACGAUCAGUAGCUGGUCUGAGAGGACGACCAGCCACACUGGGACUGAGACACGGCCCAGACUCCUACGGGAGGCAGCAGUGGGGAAUUUUGGACAAUGGGCGAAAGCCUGAUCCAGCAAUGCCGCGUGUGUGAAGAAGGCCUUCGGGUUGUAAAGCACUUUUGUCCGGAAAGAAAUCCUUGGUUCUAAUAUAGCCGGGGGAUGACGGUACCGGAAGAAUAAGCACCGGCUAACUACGUGCCNGCAGCCGCGGUAAUACGUAGGGUGCAAGCGUUAAUCGNAAUUACUGGGCGUAAAGCGUGCGCAGGCGGUUUGCUAA
Molecule: ribosomal RNA, 548 nt
Filed under: uncultured Burkholderia sp.
Lineage: Bacteria; Pseudomonadati; Pseudomonadota; Betaproteobacteria; Burkholderiales; Burkholderiaceae
Description: bacterial SSU rRNA
Rfam family: Bacterial small subunit ribosomal RNA
Source: RNAcentral